RNAcentral lists this transfer RNA (72 nucleotides) under Camelus bactrianus (Bactrian camel). It matches the Rfam family "tRNA". From Rfam's summary of the family: Transfer RNA (tRNA) molecules are approximately 80 nucleotides in length. The record is from Rfam by way of RNAcentral. Lineage: Eukaryota; Metazoa; Chordata; Mammalia; Artiodactyla; Camelidae. RNAcentral also lists the same sequence under 2 other names.
GGGCGUAAAGUUGAGUGGUAGAGCACAUGCUUAGCAUGCAUGAGGUCCUGGGUUCAAUCCCCAGUACCUCCA